Molecule: ribosomal RNA, 429 nt
Filed under: Bacillota bacterium
Lineage: Bacteria; Bacillati; Bacillota
Description: Firmicutes bacterium partial 16S ribosomal RNA
Rfam family: Bacterial small subunit ribosomal RNA
Source: RNAcentral
UGGGGAAUAUUGGACAAUGGGCGAAAGCCUGAUCCAGCCAUGCCGCGUGUGUGAAGAAGGUCUUCGGAUUGUAAAGCACUUUAAGUUGGGAGGAAGGGCAGUAAGCGAAUACCUUGCUGUUUUGACGUUACCGACAGAAUAAGCACCGGCUAACUCUGUGCCAGCAGCCGCGGUAAUACAGAUGGUGCAAGCGUUAAUCGGAAUUACUGGGCGUAAAGCGCGCGUAGGUGGUUCGUUAAGUUGGAUGUGAAAGCCCCGGGCUCAACCUGGGAACUGCAUCCAAAACUGGCGAGCUAGAGUAGGGCAGAGGGUGGUGGAAUUUCCUGUGUAGCGGUGAAAUGCGUAGGUAUAGGAAGGAACACCAGUGGCGAAGGCGACCACCUGGGCUCAUACUGACACUGAGGUGCGAAAGCGUGGGGAGCAAACAGG